CUGCUUCCUUCAACAGCACAUAUACUAAAAUUGGAAUCAUACAAAUAUUACCAUGGCCCUUAUGGAAGGAUGACAUGGAAAUCUGUAAAGUCUUUCAAGAGGGA
This is a small nuclear RNA of Ictidomys tridecemlineatus (thirteen-lined ground squirrel), 104 nucleotides long. The record is from Ensembl. Lineage: Eukaryota; Metazoa; Chordata; Mammalia; Rodentia; Sciuridae.